AGAUGCGAUCAUACCAGCACUAAUGUACCGGAUUCCAUUAGAACUUCGCAGUUAAGGGUGCUUGGGCGAGAGUAGUACUAGGAUGGAUUACCUCCCGGAAAGUCCUCGUGUUGCAUCCC
RNAcentral lists this ribosomal RNA (119 nucleotides) under Arabidopsis thaliana (thale cress). The record is from RNAcentral. Lineage: Eukaryota; Viridiplantae; Streptophyta; Magnoliopsida; Brassicales; Brassicaceae.